AUAUUAUUGUGCAAAACCUGUUACAACAACUCUACAGAUCAGCAAUGGCACCAGACUUUACAUCAAUGAAGAAGCUGCUCGAGAUCACAAUCAAACAGAACUGAAAAAUAACUCUCAAUAUCAGAAUACACAGCAAUCUCUCAUAGUUUUGUGCUUCGUACCAAUCAUUGUGAUGUUUUUGGCAAUAAUAGGUCUAUUCCAGGUCAAACUCCAAGUGUGUAAGAAAAGACACCAACAAUAUCAAGAUGAAGAACUGGAGCAGCUUUACAGCACAAAUGAUGAGGAGUUUUCUGAAGUGGAGUUUCAUCUGUUUCACCCGAACAACAACACUUUUGUUCCUUUUCAAAAGCCAAAGACAAAACCUAGACAAAUAUAAUCAAGAUUAUGUCACAUUGUCUAAUAGUGGUAUGAAUAUUGUGCUAAAUAAUUAGUAUAAUAUUGUUAGCUGAUAUUUGUUACCUAAACACACAUGUAAUACAAAAUCUGAAAUGUUUUCAGCAUGAAUUUAUUUGCUUUUGUUUUGAUAAUUAAGUCUUGUAGAUAAAAUCUGUAAAUCUUAAUUCUGUUUGUUUAUUUUGAAUGGCUUCAUUCUUUGA
Carassius carassius (crucian carp) is the source of this 596-nucleotide long non-coding RNA. RefSeq lists it as uncharacterized. Lineage: Eukaryota; Metazoa; Chordata; Actinopteri; Cypriniformes; Cyprinidae. The transcript has 4 exons. The record is from RefSeq and is a predicted model, not a curated record.